ACCAGGGCUUCUAGCAGGAUGAAGGACAAAGAUGAUCCGUGAAGGGCUGUUAGUGCUUUCAGGUGGCUGGGGAAGUCCAGGCCCCAAACUCCGUGAUGUCUGGAAGAACACGAAUGCACUGGAUCGAGAGGAGACCAAGACAUAGUAGCUGGACCAGUCGAGAGGGACUCGGGAAUCACUGAAUGAAUAAGAGAAGUCACACGCCCCCGGCCCUGUCCUGGAAAAGCAGCUCGUUGAGCAGGGCAGGAUCUGGAACCAGGCCAGCCUUAUGUGGUUGCCUUUAAAAAGAAACAAAACAAAGACUGACUUCCGACCAGCUGACCCUAAGCCUCUAAGCCUAGCAGCUCCCUACUGGGAUCUUUCAGACUGCAGGGGAGUCUGGCUAGGUGCCAGGACUGGCCUUUUGUGAGCCCAGGCAAACCAAUAACUCGUUCCCCAUGAACACCGUGGGCACAGUCAGGUCCUACUCUCCUCCUCCGGGGCAGCUCUGCGGAUCCUCCUGCAGCUAAAAUGUCCUUGCCUGGAGGGUAGCGAACAAGGGGCUGAGCGGCACUCCCUGAAGGCUCUUCUCCCACCACACCCCUCCCCCUAGGUCUUCCACACACCUGCAUUUGGGUACCAGAGUCACAGGCGGUAUUUCUUAGCACCUUUCUCUGCGAUCAGGCCUGGCUUCAACGUGACUAUGGUAAGAAGAUGCCCUCCAGCAGGCUGUGUUUGCAGACUACAUGGAGCCUCACGUGGGGAUUCUCUGAGCCCUGUGGAUUUACAGUAAGAUGCAGUUGCCUAGGGAGUAAUGCUGCACAGAUUUUGACUCUGGAGUAACAUACCUGGCUGGCCUUGGGAUGCUACAAAUGGCCUACUGGAUUCUUGGAGUCUGGAUGCCCACCGGGGACAAGGACCAUAGCUGUGAAGACUGGAUCUCUACCCCUGACUCAAUGAGAAUAUUUACUCUGAUCUCUCGGUCAACCUGGAGCUCUCUGUAAAAUGCGGAUCUCUGUGAGUUUGAGGCCAGCCUGGAGAGCUAGCUUCAGGACCACCAGGGCCGAUCCACAAUGAAAACAGAAGAAAACAAC
Non-coding RNA from Cricetulus griseus (Chinese hamster), 1073 nucleotides. The record is from RefSeq and is a predicted model, not a curated record. Lineage: Eukaryota; Metazoa; Chordata; Mammalia; Rodentia; Cricetidae.